GCAUGGUUCAGACAUAAAAGGUGGCUUCGGCUACCACUUACAGAUGGACCCGCGGCGCAUUNUCUAGUUGGGGAGGUAACGGCUCACCAAGGCGACGAUGCGUAGCCGACCUGAGAGGNUGAUCGGCCACACUGGNCCUGAUACACGGCCCAGACUCCUACNGGAGGCAGCAGUAGGGAAUCUUCCGCAAUGGACGAAAGUCUGACGGAGCAACGCCGCGUGAGUGAUGAAGGUUUUCGGAUCGUAAAGCUCUGUUGUUAGGGAAGAACAAGNGCCGUUCAAAUAGGGCGGCACCUUGACGGUACCUAACCAGAAAGCCACGGCUAACUACGUGCCAGCAGCCGCGGUAAUACGUAGGUGGCAAGCGUUGUCCGGAAUUAUUGGGCGUAAAGGGCUCGCAGGCGGUUUCUUAAGUCUGAUGUGAAAGCCCCCGGCUCAACCGGGGAGGGUCAUUGGAAACUGGGGAACUUGAGUGCAGAAGAGGAGAGUGGAAUUCCACGUGUAGCGGUGAAAUGCGUAGAGAUGUGGAGGAACACCAGUGGCGAAGGCGACUCUCUGGUCUGUAACUGACGCUGAGGAGCGAAAGCGUGGGGAGCGAACAGGAUUAGAUACCCUGGUAGUCCACGCCGUAAACGAUGAGUGCUAAGUGUUAGGGGGUUUCCGCCCCUUAGUGCUGCAGCUAACGCAUUAAGCACUCCGCCUGGGGAGUACGGUCGCAAGACUGAAACUCAAAGGAAUUGACGGGGGCCCGCACAAGCGGUGGAGCAUGUGGUUUAAUUCGAAGCAACGCGAAGAACCUUACCAGGUCUUGACAUCCUCUGACAAUCCUAGAGAUAGGACGUCCCCUUCGGGGGCAGAGUGACAGGUGGUGCAUGGUUGUCGUCAGCUCGUGUCGUGAGAUGUUGGGUUAAGUCCCGCAACGAGCGCAACCCUUGAUCUUAGUUGCCAGCAUUCAGUUGGGCACUCUAAGGUGACUGCCGGUGACAAACCGGAGGAAGGUGGGGAUGACGUCAAAUCAUCAUGCCCCUUAUGACCUGGGCUACACACGUGCUACAAUGGACAGAACAAAGGGCAGCGAAA
RNAcentral lists this ribosomal RNA (1080 nucleotides) under Bacillus sp. P6. RNAcentral describes it as "bacterial SSU rRNA". It matches the Rfam family "Bacterial small subunit ribosomal RNA", at positions 188 to 1254 of the family's 1533-position model. The record is from RNAcentral. Lineage: Bacteria; Bacillati; Bacillota; Bacilli; Caryophanales; Bacillaceae.